This 2456-nucleotide long non-coding RNA is filed under the name Triticum aestivum (bread wheat). Its description in RNAcentral is "long non-coding RNA (TAES_LNC009802)". Lineage: Eukaryota; Viridiplantae; Streptophyta; Magnoliopsida; Poales; Poaceae. The record is from RNAcentral.
UCACUGACCAGAGCCACCACUCCUAGCAGCAGCAGCAGCCUGAUCAUCAGGAAGAGGCCGAGGACCCUUGGAAAGGUGAUGCCUUGUUUUGCCUUCCCUGAAAUGAAGUGAAGUGAAGCUCAUUCAGUCAUUUUAUUCCCAAACAACAGAAAAAGGUCCACUCAUUUGCCUCCUGCAUUUCUUUAUGCACAGCUUAAUUUGUUUUUCGUUUUGCAAAUUCAAAGGUGGCUGAGGGCUGUGAUGCUGUGGACCCGCCGGUUCCUAGGAAAUUGAGAUCAGGUACCACUAAUCGCUGCAUUUGGUGUCUCUUAAAGCUGGAACAGGGACAGCUUUGUCCCUUUCUCUUUCCAUCUUUACCUACUCAUUUGCAUAUACUAGCAUAGGACCAUCUCUGGCCAAUGGUUCUCAGAUUUGAUGAUGGCUAACCAAUGACAAUGCUGGUGUUUUUACAAAGUAAUAUAGUGAUAAUUUUUAAUAGCAUAUCUAACUUAGCUGGUCCCUGAAUGUACUAUUGAUGUGAGUGUUUCUACUUUUGGGACAUCCACAGUAUAGAUGAUUUCUUAAGCAACAAUUGGCAAAGCGCCAAGUUCACAUUUCAAUUCUGGGUCUUCUACUUUCAGCCAUAAUCAAGCGCGUCGGUCAGGCUGUUCCUUCGUCGCCGCGGCAUGCCAAGAAGAGGCGUCAUCUUUCAGCUAUCAGUGCUCAGAUUUUUCAGAUGGAUCGUGAAACAAGAACCGGCGAGACCAUGGUAUGUAUCUUCUGUCUGAAAGCUGCUCUUCAUUUUGUCAUAAUCCAAGACUUUGCAAGUGAACUAUGGGUUUCUCGCAGCCGUCAAAUUCUUUCACGAAGGAGGAGGAAGUGCUUGCUGAUACUUUGCUAGCACUAUCCCAAAUAGCCCCACCUUCUGAGCCAGCAGCCGACAUGGCGACGGAAAAAGAUGCCUCAAACACAAAUGUUGCCUCAACUUCUUGUUCAGAAGGUUGUUGAUCUUCACUAUUUCCUGCUAUUGUGUAUUUAAUACUAGUAACUGAGGUUGUACAGUUUGAGUAACAUGAUGCAUUGUAAUUCAGGUGUGAUUACUCCUACAGGAGCUAUCAAGGAGGAUGUCAGAAUAACUUUGUUGCCAACUGAAGCUAACAAAGUGGUUACGCAGUCUGCCUGCGCAGAUCAACAAGUGGAACCAACUGCUACUGCCAGUGUUCCACAACUAAAUCCUGCUUUAGGUGCUCCUCGCAUCAGCAUAAAUCCUGAUUUUCCCAAAGAUGGGAAGAUACAGGACCUUUCUUUGGGACUUUUCGCGAAUUCGCCAAGUCCACCUAAAGAAUCCUUGAAUAAAAGGUGGGGAAUUGCCUCAUGGUUGCCCUCGGUUCUCUUACCUUGUCAUAUUAUUGCUGGUGUUCUCAUGUUUACUUCUGUUUACAGCGCUUGGAAGAAGCCGAAGGCACAAUUUGAUGGUAGUCUAAGUCUAACUAACCAGACAAAGAAGGAGACUCCUCACUGGCUGGUAUUGGUUCUUCUCUCUUUGCUCUCUGAAAGUACUGUUGUAAUUUCCAUUUUGUCCGAAUGUUUCAUGAACUCCCCACAAUAUGUUUUUUAUACAGCUGAAUCGCAAUAAAUCUGGUUUUGUGGCACAUAAUAGAACAAAAGAUGAGAAUAGCAGUGCCAAAGGUAAAUCCUAUUUUCAGAAUGCCACGACAGUUAUUUUAUGACACGCGAUUCUACUAAAAUGUUGGCGAUGCUGCUAUUACUUGUUAGCUAAUCUGUUGUUACAUCAUCCCUAUCAGAAGUUAUGCCUGCAAUCCAGGCUCCGCUACCUUGUACCUCAACUGGGUCUUCGAAAAAGUAAGUUGCUGCCUAAAACUUGACACUGUUUCCUACACUCUUUUUAGCUGUUAAGAAGAGCGCUAAUGUCUGUUGUUUUACAGGCCCUCUUCAAGUACAUUGGGUGCAUGCACAAUAUCUGGCAAAGAAAUUACUACUGCCUGGGCAAUUGCAAAUAAUGACAAGGUCAAGUAUUUUAUCAACUCUAAUUUUAGUGAAACAAAUUGGCCCUGCUACUCAAUUAUCUUUUUUUUUUGCGACAUUGCUACUCUAUUAUCUAUGGGACACCUAAAAUCAUAGGCAAGUUGGUUGCUCAAGUUAUAUAUAUAUUCUUACUCCUGAAAAGAUUUACCUGUACAUAACUAAAUGCCAAGCUUGAACACUUUGGCUGUUGAGCUGACAAAUACAUCCUUUUUAUUCACAGCUUUCCCUUCCUGAAACUGGUGGCCCUGCAAAGACAUGGAAGAGAAGUGUUACCCAUGCCUAUGUGAGUCAUCUUAUCCAAAACCAUUUGGACAAGGAUAAGGCAUCGCAAAACCAAGUAAUCGCCCAGGAAAGAUCACGCAGCCGCAUUUCGAGCUCUCCAAGCGGCUCCACCUUGAAUAAGAAUGGUAUGCAUUUCGACGCAAGGAUCC